RNAcentral lists this ribosomal RNA (481 nucleotides) under uncultured bacterium. Its description in RNAcentral is "partial 16S ribosomal RNA". It matches the Rfam family "Bacterial small subunit ribosomal RNA", at positions 28 to 507 of the family's 1533-position model. The record is from RNAcentral.
GACGAACGUUGGCGGCGUGCUUAAUACAUGCAAGUCAACUGAAGCAGUGGUAGCAAUAUCGCUGUGGAGGUGGCGCACGGGUGAGUAACACGUAGGUAAUCUGCCUUCAGGUCUGGCAUAACUCCGGGAAACCGGGGCUAAUAGCAGAUGAUGCAGCGGCUCGACAUCGAGACAGUUGUUAAAGCUAUGGCGCCUGAAGAUGAGCCUGCGUCUGAUUAGCUAGUUGGCGGGGUAACGGCCCACCAAGGCAACGAUCAGUAGCUGGUCUGAGAGGAUGAUCAGCCACACUGGAACUGAGACACGGUCCAGACUCCUACGGGAGGCAGCAGUAAGGAAUAUUGCUCAAUGGGAGAAAUCCUGAAGCAGCAACGCCGCGUGAGGGACGAAGGGCUUUUGCUUGUAAACCUCUGUAGUGAGAGAAAAAAAUCCCAAUCCUUGGGACAUGAUGGUAUCUCAAAAGUAAGCCCCGGCUAACUACGUG